This 7085-nucleotide long non-coding RNA is filed under the name Daphnia pulex (common water flea). RNAcentral describes it as "uncharacterized LOC124193993, transcript variant X2". Lineage: Eukaryota; Metazoa; Arthropoda; Branchiopoda; Diplostraca; Daphniidae. The record is from RNAcentral.
AUGAGUAAUGUUCGAGAAAGAAAAUGGCGUGUGGUGUUGAGAAAAUUUGUUGCAAGAAAAGUGAAAGAGUAAAAGACUACUAAGAUUUUCUAAUAAUCUGAAGUAAUUGAGAAGUAAUAAUCUAGUAAUUGGGCAAUUAAAGUCACUUUUACCCCAAAUUCUUGUUUUUUUCCUGCCUGAUUGAGUGAUUGACUAAUGGAAAACAAAGAUAAUUAAUCAAGCAGAUUUCUAUGGCCCAAUAGGGCUCACAAAGAACAAUGGAAACCAAACUUCAAAUGUCAGAUCCCCAAAUAAAAACAGUCAAAGUUUUUCGUUACUAAUUAAAGUGCUCUUAAACUGACACGACGAGAAAGGCUUCAAUUCCCUGAGAUGUCAAAGGAAACCGGCGUCUUAAAUGCCAAGUGUGUCACUACUCUGGGUAACAACCCAGAGUCUAAACUUUGGAGAACAUGAACUCACUCAACCGGAUGGAAAUGCGUACCUCAAAUCGCCCAGCAACGAUUGAUGAUCCACAUCCAUCCACUCCAAAUCGAAUGCGACAUGGCAGAAGACAAGAAAUUAACUCCAAACUAAUAUGUGCCGCCGCAGUUAUGCAAUUGAGCGGCGAUCCGGGGGGGGUGAGCGAGCGGUUUCCGUGCCAAUCAAUGUGCGAUAGCGAAUAUGAAACGUUUACGAACUGCGACAUCAUCAUCCAUCAGACGGCAAUUGACGUCAGCGAGGACGUGAUCACUUCCCAAACUAUACCGGAAGCCAUACUACUUUAUAGCCCCUGCGAUCGUGAAACUUUGAUGACGCUCAAACCCCAUUCUUCCAGUUAUUGCCCAUAGGAAAGUGGCAUCGCGUGAUGUGUAUCGUGCGACGACCGUCAACAUCUACAUUAACCCAAUCGCCGAUAACCGCAGCUUAACCGAACUAAUGACGUGUUAAAGAGGCUCAGGUAAUAUAAUAUCCACGUCUAACUACGUCAUAUAAUAGAAAUAUAUAGCCGACGGACUAUUAGCUCGGGGAUUAUCCUCAAUAGUGGGUAGGCGCAAUAUCCAUCCCGGCACGACCACCCACGGCCAGCACGCGUAGACUAUAUAGGAUAUACAUGUUCGCCGAGCGCGUGUUGUGUGUCGUUAACAGCAGCAUGUGUAUGUAUAUAAAGGAUGUAAAAGGGGCCUUUUAUGCACACACACACAAUAGGACUCGGUACACACAGCCGGAGAAUAAGCACCCACACAGCACAGAAAGAUCCUCUCUAACUGCACACACACAUAUUAUAAGGACCGCCGAAAGUAUAUAGCACCGGGAGUAUAUAGUUGGCUGACUCUCCCGGAGUCUUAUAUAAUGUUCUCAACUGAUGGAGGAUGUCACAAAAGGGCGGGCCCGGCUAAUAAAUAGUCGACGUUGUCGGGAUAUAUAGAACUCAUCCAAGUGGAAAUCGAUUGGCCGUGACAUGUUGCUGACUUAAUCAGUUUGACUCUCCUAGGAAAGGGAAAGGAUAACCCCCCCAAAUAAAAAUGAGUUCCGAUAUUUUAUCAGAUUUUCAAUCCGUCCCGAUCAUUUGACGUCCGAAAUAAAGGUCUCUGAGAACCACACGCUUAUAGUUAACAAAACAUCUUGGUCUGUAUUAUUAUAUGAUGUGCUGUGAUGUGUGUGUACUAUUCGUACGUUUAAAGCUAAUGUUGUCUCUCGUCUAAACGUCCGCUUCGGUUACGUUGCGAGGGACCGGAGCGAGCGAGCGGCCACACAACGUGCGGGAUAUUUUUUCUAUAGUCGCCGCGCCCGUUGUGUGUAGCUGCGCUGCGCGUUCGGGUUGCCGUGGAGAAUCCUACGGCGCACGUCUGAAAUUCUUCUGACGCAUAUUAUUGACAUAAAGAUUUCCCCUCCCCCCUUCUUCUCUCUGUGUGUAGUCUAUACUACAUACCCCUUUCUCUCUCGUUGGCUAUUCUCUACGGAACUCGAAACUCUUUUCGUUCGUUCGUUUUUCCCCCUCCAUCCAGCUUGCGCAACCCGCGUUUCUUCUUUUUACCCCCCGGUUACAUGUAUGUUGUAUACUAUAGACACACACACACAUUUUCUAACCAAUAAAUGCAGGGCGGAACCCUAUAUUGUCUAUACUAUAGACGUUAUAUUCUCUUUUUUAUUAUUUUUUGAAUUUUCCAACUGAUGCGGCAAACCGAAUUUUUUAUUUAUUUUCUCUAUAAUGCAAAAUGGCCGCCACCGAUAUCCUGGCUGGCUGUAUGUAUACAUGCAGCAACUGAUGUGCGCUCUCUCUCUGCUGGUGUAUUGGUUCUUCUUUUCCCUUUAUCCUCUUUUUCUUAUUAUACGACGCGUGCUAGAUCUCUUAUAUAAUAUAGCUGCGUAUACAGCAGUCAGCCAUAGCCAGCCAUAGCCAGCCCCCUCCCGCCGGUUCUUCUUCUUCUUAUAUUAUACACCACCACACAUUUUCUCUUCUUCUUUUUGCCUUCGAUUCUUUCAAUCACGUCGGCUGUUUCUCCUUCUGUUCAACACAAGAUCCUCCUCCCAGCACAUUCUAUAUAUUAUCCCUUUUUUUAUUUAUUUUCUGAUUUAUAUUUAAUGUACAGACCGCCGUCUGCACUCCCUUACUCUUUUGUUUGCGGCUUUUUUGUGUUCGUCUUUUCUUAUUUUGGCAGCUCCAAAACGCGGACGACGUCUCGCGUGAAUUCUAUUAUGCAGUCCCGCGUGAUCACAACUGUGACAAAAGAGAGAAUAAAAGCUCGGAGGGAUAUAUACUGAUCUCUGCGGGAGUCUUUAAAAUCUCUUUUUUUUUCUUUUCUUUUAUAAAUCAUCGACAUCUCGGGAGUCACGCAAUAACCCGCGAAAAUUUGAAAAAACAAAAAAACAAAAAUUGGUCAACUAUAAUGCGCGGUUCUAUUGGACGAGUAUCUGUGUAUGCGUGUUUUUAAAGCUUUUAUUUUUUCUGCUCCUUGACGUUGAAAUUGACAAAAGAAAACGGGAGCGAAACCCCACAGCAGCUGAUGCCCAUCAAUGGCGGAUGUGUUUAUGUACAUUCACCGGUCGAUGUCGUUUUUCGACUUUCGGUUUUUGUAGAGUUUCUGUUUGACCAGCCCGCGUGUGCUGUUUAUAUUCUUUGCUGGGGGUGGUGGGUUCGUCAAUAAAUCACGUCGACACCCCGAUACGACCAUCCGGUUGACUGUUGUCUAUACAUCCCAUAUUAUCUUGUCCUUGGCUCUUCUCCACUAUUAACUAUGCAUCGUUGUUUAUAUCAAUAAUAACAAUGGAGCGGAUGUUGUUUGUAUAUGCUGCUGCUGAGCUGGAGACGCUCCCGAUGACCUUUUUUGUGUCUGCUGUUUUUCUCUCUCCCGAGUCCGGAUUGCGUUUUAUCGUUUCCCGUGUCUGUCAGCGAUGCUCGACAUUGAUCAAGCAGCUCGAAAAAAGAAUAAAGAGAAGCGCAGCAGCAGCACAACUAUUCACAUCAUUAUGUACAUUUAUCGGCGUGAUGAAUAAAUCAGACAACCAAACGACGACAUUAACAGAAACGAAAAUCCAACGCCAAUUAAAAUCACAAAUUCACGUUAUUAUGAAGCCAAGACGAGAUCGCCCUUGUUAUUAUGAAUAAUUACGGAGGAAUAGAUAUUAUAUAACGGUAAUCUAUAACAACGAGUUGAUGGUUAUCUCUCCAUCAGCUGAAUAAUCAUUCUCGUCAGAUUUUCGCUUUCUCUCUUUACAGUCUAGACAGGUCGACGAGCCUAAGAUAUCUCUUAUAGGCUCGUCAUGCUCCGCUAUUGGAUGACUCAUCCAUCUCGCGGAUGGCGAGUGCUCCUGCCAGAGAGCGACGAGAUGGAAGGAAGAUAUAGGCAAUCCUAUAAGAUGCUGUGUACUGUGCAUAUAGGACCGGGGGGUCGAGAUUGGCCGUCAACUUCAUAUAUCCCUCCGCUUCUUCGCUGCUGCUGGAAACAUCUUGGCUGGUGGUGGUGGCUGAACCGCGUUUUAUCCGUGAGUGGAAUGAGAAGGAUCUCUCUCAUUCUUGGUGAUGGGAGAGAUGAGAGAAGGAAGAGCCCGCAGAGCGGAAUGAAGAACAAGAACCGCGUCUCAAUCCUAUACUCUAGAUAUAUACUUAUGGCGCUCGUCGUCGUUUGUCGUUCUCUUUUCUUUCCAGCAAAACACUUGGGCAAAUGGGUCGCUAACCUCUUCGCCAAGUGCUCCUGCCACUGGGCUAAUUAUCUGCACUACAACUUGACUUAUUUGAUUGGCCGCUAAACGGUUUCAAUAGAUUCUUUGAUGAAUAAUCCAAAGUCAAAUGGCCACACAAGUCACUGAUUUCAUGAUUCCCACAAGUUGGACAGGUAUAAGAAAAUAUAUUUUGACCAAGUUUGUUAUAUUAUAAAUCCCUAAAUGAAAAGUCAAAAUAGAAAAACUAGUUGAUUUGUUUGAUGUGUGUGUAGCAAAUCAAAGUUGCUUGUAUGUACGUUCGCAUAUGUCGAUGGCGCGCGGAAUAAAAAGCCAAAAGUUUGCGCAACUUUUCUUCUCUUGUAUAAAGAAUGCGAGGGAGGCAAGUUUACAGUAAGUACACAUAUUAUUAUUAAACGACGUCUAUAUAGUUUCACGUUCAACAGUAUAUCGAAAAGUUCAAAUCUUAAAAAAUCUAAAAAUAAGAAGAAGGUAAGCAUAAAGAGACCUUUCUUCGGUCCUCUUGGAGUCGCUCUUGACUUUAGACUGAUCCGCUUUUCUGCUGCUGGGCCCACCCAAGUUUGAGAGAGAGGCACGCGACGCCCUGCAGAGCGUGGGAGCGUCUUUAUAUAGCCUAACCCCCCAGCCCCCCACCACCAUCAACUCCUUCGCCAUCGAAACGUGCGCGUCUUCCACGGCUACUUGUUUGAUCUCCUCCUUAUUCUUAAACCGUCGGAAGAAAUAAAUAAACAAGAAACGCUUAAAAAUGUAAUAUUCUUUGACUUCAAUGCCGACCUUUUUCAUUUUCUUUCGAAUCUCGUUUGCAAAAGUCAAUUUAUUUAAGGAACUGAAUUUCCCAGAUGCUAAAUUAUAAGUAAGUGAAAUGCUUGGCGUCAAUGUGGGUGUUUCUGUUGAACACUGCGCAGUUGAUAUAGGAGUAGAAUGUGAAUAUUUAAUGAUGUAAUCAAAUUUGAAAACUAAUAGCGAAUACCUUUCGGAUGAGAUGAUCAAAUGAGCUUACAAACUCAUGACUCUAUAACUGCAAGUAUAUGCCUGUAAAACUCCUUGGGGAGUGACAACCUUGUUAAUUAUUUGAUGGCCCCAAGACACCGCAGUUUUCAAUCUCUUAGAGAUUUCGCCAACACAAAAUUCAAAGGAAAGCUUUUUCCUUUUGUGCCCUUUUCUUUUGUAAUCAGUCUGCUAUUCAACGUUCACGUGGCCCAUCAUAAUAGAUUACUGGACAAUGAACACGACACUUGGAAUUGAUGGCUGUAAGAAUAUGCCAAGAAAUCAAGUCUAAUAUGGAUCGGAUUAAUACGCCAGCAGUUAAAUUCCAGUGCAAUAGCGAAUCACCGCCAAGAGCAAUGGUUGCGCAAUCGGUCGGUUCACUCGAUAUUGUUCGUUAAAUAAGAAGCUAUCAACAAUAAUCCGAUGAGAAAACAAGUCAAACUGAUGCAAAGUUCAUUUGAAACCCUUCUGCUGUUUAAAUUAUCAAAUGAUUUAGUAGUUCCCUGAAUUCCCAUCAGCGGUGAUGACCCAGUCCUCCCUUCAUUUGUUAUAAAUAUCUACCGUUAUUGUUGCCUCAUAGCUAAUCGGCUCCUAAAUUGGUUUAAAAAAGAAAACACCCGCCUUCCACACGACCAAAGCUAAUAAUGAGAUCGUAAAAUCGGCUACUUUGAUGUCCAAUGUGUUUUUAAAUGGGGAUGCAAUACUUUUUAAAAAAUUCGGCCUUACUUAAACUUUCGAUCUCAAUUUUUCCCCUACCCUCUAUUACCGCGGCUGAUGUCAUCAGGCCCCACAUCUCCGAGCUAUGAUUGCUGUACAGUGGCCCAUCAAUAGACUAUACUAUAUAUAGACUCAAUUUGCACUAUAGUCUUCUUUUUGGUUUUCGGUUUUAUAGAUGAAUGGUUGUUAGGAAAAAGGAAAAAGAUGGCAGGGUUGUUUUUAUGUGUUGUGUCUAAGGUCUAUCCGAGCCAACACUGUUCAACUAUUAUUAUUGAUAUAUAUAUAAACAGCGAGAGAAGACGAGCGCCAACUUAUUGAUCGGGCGCGCGGGUUCUCGCCGCUUUCACAUCCCAGCAGCAUAGCACUCCCGACACGACAGUAGUACGUGCUGUAAAUGUGCAUCGACAUUAAUACACGAGGAGAGAGAGAAGAGAGAGAUAACACAACGCACUCGAGAGUUAUUUUCAGUUAUCCGAUGUAUGUGUACGUAUUUAUUACGAAACUAUAUUUUAAUUAGAAAAUAUAUAAGAAGUUGGAGUCACCACCACCACCACCCCGGAAACAUUUUUUGUAUUCGUCUGGAUCGACGGACAAACAAAACAAUCAUUCCGGAACAUUUUUUGGCCAGUGCUGGGAGUCAACACACACCACCAAACAACAAAAUAGAAUUUUUUUCCUUUAUGAAAAGAAAAAGAAGAAAAAAAAACUGGACCAUAUGUUUUUAUAGGUCGUCUGGAUUGAAUGUUGAGAGAGCGAUAGCCCUGCGGCUAUGUGUGCGUGAUGGGAUAUAUAUUCAGACGCCAAAAAGAUUCCCGUAUUCUUUUUUUUUUUGACAUAUAGGACCGUAGCAGUUAGACAUAAAUAAGAGCUCGAGAUGUUACUGGCCUGCUCCAACUGUGGGCAUUGAUCAAACGAAAUUCAUUCAAUAUGUAUAGAACGGGAGAAGAAAAGUGGGCGAAUUGAGACAACAGAGGGAGGAUCCUCAAAUCGGAAAUCCAUCAUCGAGGCCAGUCGACACCAGACUGCUGUGCAAUCGCCUGAUGACAUCAUCAUAUAACGAACGAUAUAUAAUAGAAGGAAAUCCGAAUUUUAUAUAGAUCAUCCCUUUGACCGGAAAUCAAAUAAAAUGUACUACGUAGUAUAUAAGAGAUACGUCCGGACGUGACGGCGAUGUUGCGUGCGUGAUAAUAAUCUAGCCGACGGAUCUUGUCGCCUUUUUCUCU